UUGAUUCAAAGGAUUUGCAUAGGAAUUUUAGAGGAUUAAAAUCUUUAGAAAUUUUUCCUAUGUUGGUUGUUUGAUUCAUAGGUUUGAAUCCUAUAGGAAACUUUCCUAAGGAAUUUUUUGUACUACUUCCCAUAGGAUUUCUAGCAUCCACUCAAACCUCUUUGAAAGAAUCCUUUGUUUUUCCUAUGAUGUAAUCAAACAACCGAAAAUCCUAUAGGAUUGAGAUGAGCAUGACAUUCCAAUCCUAUGUUUUUCCUAUUCCCAUGUUUUUACAAUCCCGCGAAUCAAAGAGGCCCU
This 297-nucleotide long non-coding RNA is filed under the name Triticum aestivum (bread wheat). RNAcentral describes it as "long non-coding RNA (TAES_LNC014509)". Lineage: Eukaryota; Viridiplantae; Streptophyta; Magnoliopsida; Poales; Poaceae. The record is from RNAcentral.